RNAcentral lists this ribosomal RNA (914 nucleotides) under uncultured marine archaeon. RNAcentral describes it as "bacterial SSU rRNA". It matches the Rfam family "Archaeal small subunit ribosomal RNA", at positions 1 to 922 of the family's 1478-position model. The record is from RNAcentral.
UUCCGGUUGAUCCUGCCGGACCUGACUGCUAUCGGAUUGAUACUAAGCCAUGCGAGUCUUUGCAGUAAUGCAAGGCAUACGGCUCAGUAACACGUAGUCAACUUACCCUAUGGACGAGGAUAAUCUCGGGAAACUGAGCAUAAUACUCGAUAGAUCAUAAUGCCUGGAAUGGUUUAUGGUUAAAAUGAUUCGUCGCCAUAGGAUGGGACUGCGGCCUAUCAGCUUGUUGGUGAGGUAAUGGCCCACCAAGGCGAUUACAGGUACGGGCUCUGAGAGGAGAAGCCCGGAGAUGGGUACUGAGACAAGGACCCAGGCCCUAUGGGGCGCAGCAGGCGAGAAAACUUUGCAAUGUGCGAAAGCACGACAAGGUUAAUCCGAGUGAUUUCUGCUAAAGAAAUCUUUUGCAAGUCAUAAAACCACUAGUGAAUAAGGGGUGGGCAAGUUCUGGUGUCAGCCGCCGCGGUAAAACCAGCACCUCAAGUGGUCAGGAGGAUUAUUGGGCCUAAAGCAUCCGUAGCCGGCUCUGUAAGUUUUCGGUUAAAUCCAUGUGCUCAACGCAUGGGCUGCCGAAAAUACUGCAUAGCUAGGGAGUGGGAGAGGUAGACGGUACUCAGUAGGAAGGGGUAAAAUCCUUUGAUCUAUUGAUGACCACCUGUGGCGAAGGCGGUCUACCAGAACACGUUCGACGGUGAGGGAUGAAAGCUGGGGGAGCAAACCGGAUUAGAUACCCGGGUAGUCCCAGCUGUAAACGAUGCAGACUCGAUGAUGCAUUGGCAUAUAGCCAGUGCAGUGUCGCAGGGAAGCCGUUAAGUCUGCCGCCUGGGAAGUACGUACGCAAGUAUGAAACUUAAAGGAAUUGGCGGGGGAGCACCACAAGGGGUGAAGCCUGCGGUUCAAUUGGAGUCAACGCCGGG